RNAcentral lists this ribosomal RNA (301 nucleotides) under uncultured bacterium. RNAcentral describes it as "partial 16S ribosomal RNA". It matches the Rfam family "Bacterial small subunit ribosomal RNA", at positions 509 to 807 of the family's 1533-position model. The record is from RNAcentral.
CAGCAGCCGCGGUAAUACGUAGGGUGCAAGCGUUAAUCGGAAUUACUGGGCGUAAAGCGUGCGCAGGCAGUUUGUUAAGUCUGCUGUGAAAUCCCCGAGCUUAACUUGGGAACUGCAUUUGAAACUGGCAAGCUAGAGUCUUGUAGAGGGGGGUAGAAUUCCAGGUGUAGCGGUGAAAUGCGCAGAUAUCAGGAGGAACACCGGUGGCGAAGGCGGUUCUCUGGGCAUUACCUGACGCUGAGGAGCGAAAGUGUGGGGAGCGAACAGGAUUAGAUACCCCCGUAGUCCCUGUCUCUUAUAC